This 3493-nucleotide long non-coding RNA is filed under the name Salvia miltiorrhiza (redroot sage). RNAcentral's name for it is "long non-coding RNA (SMIL_LNC008753)". Lineage: Eukaryota; Viridiplantae; Streptophyta; Magnoliopsida; Lamiales; Lamiaceae. The record is from RNAcentral.
AAGGCUGUUGAUCCAGGGCUAGUUUAUGAUGCUACUUACGAUGAUUAUCUGCUCUUUCUCUGCAGCAGCAGCGGCGGUAAUCUACUCGACCCGUCGUUCAACUGCCCCACAAAUGUACCUUCGCCGAGCAACUUGAACUACCCGUCGUUAGCUAUUGCCGAUCUGCAAGGCUCCUUCACCGUAGAGAGAACCGUCACAAACGUAGGCGUCGGAAACUCGUCAUAUUCGGUUACAAUUGAUCCGCCGCCGGGUUAUCUUGUCCGAAUCUCGCCGGCGACGCUGGAUUUCAGCAUGGCAGGGGAAAAACAGAGUUUCAGCAUCACAGUUGAAGUUGUGAGUAGUGCAAAUGUGUAUGCUUUUGGUUGGUAUAGAUGGAGCGACGGAAUUCACCAAGUGACGAGCCCUAUUUCAGUGUGGACGGUGUUGUGACUGGAAUUGCAAUGAAGUUGUAAGUCAUAUCCUCCUUCUCUGGUUGCUAUAUUUUUGCUUGAUAAUAAAUGAGAACAUAUUGUGUAUGCUUCUUAAUCAAAGGAAUGGAUUAUCAAUGACAACAAAUGAAAAAUAUACCACUAUAAAAUAAAACUAUAGAAAACUAUUUAUUUGAACUUGAAAUGAUAAAGUUAUCCUUACUUAAAUCGCGAACUUUGCUCGACAAUUGGACAUGUCGUCGAGCAUGAGUGGUAAAUGCACUAAUGUUUUGCAUGUUCGAUCAUUGCGAGUCGAGUAUGUCAAGCAUUAGUGUAUUUGUGAUGAAUACAUUAAUGCUCGUCAUGUUCGAUCAUUUCACUAAUAUGGUAAAUGCACUAAGUUCGACAUGUUCGAUCAUUGCUCUAAUGUGGUAAAUACAUUAAUGCUCGACAUACUCGACUUCCGCGAAUCGAGCAUUAGUGAUAAAUACAUCAAUGCUCGAUAUGUCUCGACCAUUGCGAAUCGAGCAUUCCUAUAAAAUGUACUAAUGUUCGACAUACUCGACCAUUGUGAGUCAAGCAUCAGUGGUCAAGCAUAGUGCAAAAUACAUUAAGGAUAAAAGAGUCUUAAAUGGGUAUAAUUUAUAUACUCCCUCUGUCCCGCUCCAAAUGUCCCAUUACUUUUGGGCACGUAGAUUAAGAAAUGGGUAUAAAGUAGAUAAAAUGAGUAUAAAGUAGAUAAAGUGGGUUGGUGGAAAUUGUUUAAAUAUUAAGUAUAGAGAUAGAGUGUAUGGCCAAAAAAGGUAUGAGACAUUUGGAGUGGGACACCCCAUUAUGGAAAGUGGGACAUUUGGAGUGGGACGGAGGGAGUAUUUUGUAAAAGGUGUGUAUUUUUUAAAUUUUGUCUUUUAAAAAACGUAUAUAUCAUUUUGCCCCUUUAUUCUAGCUAGUAACUUGUACUCCAGUAAUAUAUGACAUAAAUUGCAUAAAAUAAUUUUUAAUUAUUAAUUGAACAGGGCUACAUUUUCACAGAUCUGUUGGGCUUCCAACAGCCCUCUGCCACUGAAUCAGGCCGGCCCAUUACCAUUUUUUAUAUUUGAGUUUAAGAUUUUCAAAUAAAUUAAAAUUAAAUUAAUUUUUUAUAAUAAGUCUGUUAUCCAAUAAUUUAGUUGGCCUUUUCAAUCCUAACUCAAAUCCUAUACCAGUAAUAUAAUACAAGUUCUUCCUCAAUUAUACAUGUAUCUGCGACUAAAGUGAGAACUAUAUCUCUCUUUCUCGGCCUUUUGGCUAAGAUCAAGUGUAGUAAAAUGAGAAUUAUUUCUAUCAUAAUGUCUAAUAGUUAUUUUAAAUUUUGUUUCAAUGUAGCGGAGUAUGAAUUGAAGUCUACCUUUUCUCUUUUUUUCUUUUUCUUUCUAUUUUUCUAUCUUUUUUAGUUCGAUUAGAUUGAAGUCUUAAUCAAUUAUAGCGUUUUCGCAUUAAACUUUUUGCGGUGUCCAAAACAUUUACUGGCCCUUUAAAUAUCUUUUAUUGUAGUCGUUUUCUUUGAAUAAAAGAAAACGCAUUUUCAAUCAUAAUUACUACUACUUAACUUGUUCAAUCAUUAUACUUUUUUUUGUUUUGUUUCACUUGCAUAUUAUCAAUGGUCUUCUACACAAUUUGUCUCAUAAAGACUAUCAUUUUCCACCGAUUUUUUUUUUUAUUUGAUCUAUUAAUAAACAAUCUAAAUGUUUUAAAUUAAAGUUGAAUCACCUUACUCCUUAAUGCUUAGAUUAAGAAAAUGAAAGAACAUAUAAAAUAGAAAUGAACAAAAAAUAAACCAAUUGGUAGGAAAAAUUACUCAUUAUUUAACAAAUAAAGAACGAAGAAACAUGUACCAAAUUAAUUAUAUUUGCUAUUUUUUAAAUACACAAAUCCUCUUAUGUGAACGGUUGCACGGUGUGAACCUACUCACAUACUCUGAUAUACUAAUUAUAAAUAUCUUGUUAGAAUAUUUAAUAAAACACUUAUAAAUAUUCUAUUAAAAUAUGUGAGUGAGUGCACAUAUUUGCACAAAAACCUCUUCUUUUUUUAAGUAUNUAUUCAGGGUUAAUUGUCUAUAAAUACACAAAUUAUAUCCAAAUUUUGAUUUUUAACCAAAUCUCUUCUUUUGGUCAAAAAAUACAUAAACUUUUUGUUUUUUGGAAUUUGACUUGAAUCGAAAGUUCGCCAGUUAAAAAUUUGAUUGUCUAAAUUCUGACUGGCAAUCUGAAUGUACCAUUAGAAAGCUUUUAAUAUUAUCUUUCUAAUAAUACUUAAAUUGUUGGGUUUCGAUCACCGAAAGUUGUAAAAAAAAAUAGCACGAAAGUUAAUGUCACGAAAUUCUAUAUUUUUUCUUUUUCCAACCACUUCCAAUGUUCAAAACUCAACAAUAUAAGUAUCAUUAGAAAGAUAACGUCAAGAACUUUUCAACGAUACAUUCGGAUUGCUCAUCGAAAUUCAGACAAUCAAGUUAUUGGCCAACAAACUUUGGAGUCCGAUCAAAUUUGAAAAUUUUAAAAAUUUAUGUAUCUUUCGACGAAAAAAAUAAAUCUGAUUAAAAACCAAAAUUUGGGUAUAAUUUGUGUAUUUAUAGACAAUUAAUUUUUUUUUAUUAAAAUUCAUGUAGUACCCUUGUAAAACUAACCCAUGUAAUCCCCUUCUAGGACUAUUUUUUUACCAAAAAGUAUAUGAUAAGAUCUAGUUGGAGCUUGCAAAGACAUUCUAACAAACUUCCUUUUUUGCAGCAAAGCUAACAAACAACUUAGGCAAGCCAAUAACAGAUGCAUUGGGAAAUCCUGCAACACCAUUCGAAUAUGGGGCAGGACAUAUCCAACCAUCAAAGGCUGUUGAUCCAGGGCUAGUUUAUGAUGCUACUUACGAUGAUUAUCUGCUCUUUCUCUGCAGCAGCAGCGGCGGUAAUCUACUCGACCCGUCGUUCAACUGCCCCACAAAUGUACCUUCGCCGAGCAACUUGAACUACCCGUCGUUAGCUAUUGCCGAUCUGCAAGGCUCCUUCACCGUAGAGAGAACCGUCACAAACGUAGGCGUCGGAAACUCGUCAUAUUCGG